Non-coding RNA from Bemisia tabaci, 318 nucleotides. The record is from RefSeq and is a predicted model, not a curated record. NCBI's taxonomy places the organism in Eukaryota, Metazoa, Arthropoda, Insecta, Hemiptera, Aleyrodidae.
UUUGACAUUUAAUUACAAUCCUCCGAGGUUCUGAGUAUGUUUUUUAGGAAAUUUAGUUUUACAUAGAACAGUAAUAUGCUUUGUUAUAGUUAAAACAAUUUAAUUUAAAUUUGCAGCUGAAAACCAGGAACCUGAUUCCUCAUCAAAUGGAGACAAAUCUUCGGGCCAGACAUUUCUCGGCACCGUCUCAUCUCCAGGGCAGAACAUCUUCAAUGUAACAGCAACUCCCUCCGCAGAUCAUAAACAGCCAAUGCCAAGGAAGCGGCGAAAUGAUAGUGCUCAAGUGGCAGCUUUGAGAGAGAAGCUCUUACAGAAGAA